GAUGAAGAACGCAGCGAAAUGCGAUAAGUAAUGUGAAUUGCAGAAUUCAGUGAAUCAUCGAAUCUUUGAACGCACCUUGCGCCCUUUGGCCAUUCCGAAGGGCAUGCCUGUUUGAGUAUCAUGAACACCUGAACUCUUCAUGGUUUUCCGUGAUGAGCUUGGACUUUGGGGGUCUUGCUGGCCUAUGGUCAGCUCCUCUAAAAUAAAUCAGCUUGCCAGUGUUUGGUGGGUAUCACAGGUGUGAUAACUAUCUACGCUUGUGGUUUUCCACCAGGUAACCUUCAGCAGUGGAGGUUCGCUGGAGCUCACAGAUGUGUCUCUCCUCAGUGAGGACAGCUCUUUGAAUGUUUGAUCUCAAAUCAGGUAGGACUACCCGCUGAACUUAAGCAUAUCAAUAAGCGGAGGA
RNAcentral lists this unclassified non-coding RNA (406 nucleotides) under soil metagenome. RNAcentral describes it as "partial contains 5.8S ribosomal RNA, internal transcribed spacer 2, and large subunit ribosomal RNA". The stretch from base 1 to 121 matches the Rfam family "5.8S ribosomal RNA", at positions 35 to 154 of the family's 154-position model. The record is from RNAcentral.